GACGAACGCUGGCGGCGUGCCUAAUACAUGCAAGUCGAACGCUGAAGGAGGAGCUUGCUUCUCUGGAUGAGUUGCGAACGGGUGAGUAACGCGUAGGUAACCUGCCUGGUAGCGGGGGAUAACUAUUGGAAACGAUAGCUAAUACCGCAUAAGAGUAGAUGUUGCAUGACAUUUGCUUAAAAGGUGCAAUUGCAUCACUACCAGAUGGACCUGCGUUGUAUUAGCUAGUUGGUGAGGUAACGGCUCACCAAGGCGACGAUACAUAGCCGACCUGAGAGGGUGAUCGGCCACACUGGGACUGAGACACGGCCCAGACUCCUACGGGAGGCAGCAGUAGGGAAUCUUCGGCAAUGGACGGAAGUCUGACCGAGCAACGCCGCGUGAGUGAAGAAGGGUUUCGGAUCGUAAAGCUCUGUUGUAAGAGAAGAACGAGUGUGAGAGUGGAAAGUUCACACUGUGACGGUAGCUUACCAGAAAGGGACGGCUAACUACGUG
Molecule: ribosomal RNA, 495 nt
Filed under: uncultured bacterium
Lineage: Bacteria
Description: partial 16S ribosomal RNA
Rfam family: Bacterial small subunit ribosomal RNA
Source: RNAcentral